AUUGAACGCUGGCGGCAGGCCUAACACAUGCAAGUCGAGCGGAUGAAGGGAGCUUGCUCCUGGAUUCAGCGGCGGACGGGUGAGUAAUGCCUAGGAAUCUGCCUGGUAGUGGGGGAUAACGUCCGGAAACGGGCGCUAAUACCGCAUACGUCCUGAGGGAGAAAGUGGGGGAUCUUCGGACCUCACGCUAUCAGAUGAGCCUAGGUCGGAUUAGCUAGUUGGUGGGGUAAAGGCCUACCAAGGCGACGAUCCGUAACUGGUCUGAGAGGAUGAACAGUCACACUGGAACUGAGACACGGUCCAGACUCCUACGGGAGGCAGCAGUGGGGAAUAUUGGACGAUGGGCGAAAGCCUGAUCCAGCCAUGCCGCGUGUGUGAAGAAGGUCUUCGGAUUGUAAAGCACUUUAAGUUGGGAGGAAGGGCAGUAAGUUAAUACCUUGCUGUUUUGACGUUACCAACAGAAUAAGCACCGGCUAACUUCGUG
This 484-nucleotide ribosomal RNA is filed under the name uncultured bacterium. RNAcentral describes it as "partial 16S ribosomal RNA". It matches the Rfam family "Bacterial small subunit ribosomal RNA", at positions 30 to 507 of the family's 1533-position model. The record is from RNAcentral.